This 1096-nucleotide ribosomal RNA is filed under the name Gorgonocephalus eucnemis. RNAcentral's name for it is "eukaryotic LSU rRNA". It matches the Rfam family "Eukaryotic large subunit ribosomal RNA", at positions 75 to 909 of the family's 3401-position model. The record is from RNAcentral. Lineage: Eukaryota; Metazoa; Echinodermata; Ophiuroidea; Euryalida; Gorgonocephalidae.
UUCCCUCAGUAGCGGCGAGUGAAGCGGGAAAAGCCCAUCGCCGAAUCCCCGCGUCCCAGAGGCGCGUGGGAAAUGUGGCGUAAGGAAGCCGUGGCUAACCGGGGACGCGGAGCCGACGUCCUUGUGAAGGAGGCUCUCAUCCCAUAGAGUGUGUUAGGCCCCCGCAGGCGCCCGUCGCCGGUGGCCUUUUGGCUUUCAAGAGUCGGGUUGUUUUGGAAUGCAGCCCAAAGACGGGUGGUAAACUCCAUCCAAGGCUAAAUACUAGGCACGAGACCGAUAGAUGACAAGUACCAUGAGGGAAAGUUGAAAAGAACUUUGAAGAGAGAGUUCAAUAGGACGUGAAGCUGCCGAGAAGUAAACGGAAGGGCCCCGCACACCGGGGCCGGGAGAUUCAGCGCAGGGGGAGGUAGCGGCGCCCCGUUCCGUCUGCGGAUUCCCCUCGGGGAACCCUGGCGGGGCGGGUCGAUGCAGCCACCCGUCGCGCGCAUUUCUCCCGUGCCUCUGGGGUUGGCAACCGACCGCUGAUCGGCCGAUUGGACGCGGCGAAGGCAGGUACCUCAUACGGGUCUUCGGGCCCGGAGAGGACGUAUAGUCUCGCCGUCCGCAUCGGUCGCAAGGUCGAGGAAAGAAGACCACGUUCCGCGCCUGCUCAGGCCUUCGGGCCAUGGGGCUGGAGCCGCCGGACUCCCGCUCGUGCGGCGUACGGGGACUGUUCUCAGUGCCCGCUCGCUCGUGCGGUCGAGAAAGGCCGGAUCGCCUCUCAGGUGCACGGGGUUUGCCAACUUGGCCGGGCGCCUUUUCGACCCGUCUUGAAACACGGACCAAGGAGUCUAACGGGCACGCAAGUCGAAGGGCCGUAUACGAAGCCCCUAGGCGCAAUGAAAGUAAAGGGCGGUGUAGAUCGUCCGAGGUGGGAUCCGCGUCCUCUGGGCGCGGCGCACCACCGCCCCGUCUCGUCCGCUUAGCUCGGUGAGGCGGAGGAAGAGCGUGUACGCUAGGACCCGAAAGAUGGUGAACUAUGCCCGAGCAGGAUGAAGCCAGAGGAAACUCUGGUGGAGGUCCGCAGCGAUUCUGACGUGCAAAUCGAUCGCCCGUA